AAAGGCUAUGGAGAAAGUUGGCAAAGAAGAUGGAAUCAGAAUUGCUGUAAGUUCUCAUGUGUUCAUCUUGCAAAUAUCAAUAACAUCAUUUAUCUGGGUAUUACAUAUUUUAUUGAUCCGGGCAGGGACUGUGUGUUAUUCAUGUAAUAUUUAUCUAAAUAUAAUAAUCAUCUUAAUCACUCUUUAUUUUGACUUCAAUGUAUCAUUCCUUCGGUUAAACCAUUGUUAUAGUAUUAAAGCUUCAUCAAAGGACACUUACCAGUUAAGUCAAAC
Molecule: long non-coding RNA, 273 nt
Filed under: Lathyrus oleraceus (garden pea)
Lineage: Eukaryota; Viridiplantae; Streptophyta; Magnoliopsida; Fabales; Fabaceae
Description: Pisum sativum (pea) long non-coding RNA (PSAT_LNC006335)
Source: RNAcentral